This 188-nucleotide non-coding RNA is filed under the name Deltaproteobacteria bacterium. RNAcentral's name for it is "6S RNA". It matches the Rfam family "6S / SsrS RNA". Rfam says of the family: E. coli 6S RNA was the first non coding RNA to be sequenced, but its function was unknown until recently. It consists of 184 nucleotides that fold into an extended hairpin structure with a large single-stranded internal bulge. The 6S RNA specifically associates with RNA polymerase holoenzyme containing the sigma70 specificity factor. Lineage: Bacteria; Pseudomonadati; Myxococcota; Myxococcia. The record is from RNAcentral.
UAUUCCCUGCUGUGUCUGUGAUUGAAGCGACGAUUCUUGAGCCAACACUUCAAGAAGGGGAGCUUUCCCUUACUGACGGCGGACGGGCCCUGAUUAGUUGAUUAAAGGGAUGUCUAAAGUAGUAACAAGGUGCCCACCUAAGAGAUUUAGGUUCAAGUAAGUGGUUCACACGGCGCAGCGGGGCAUUU